AGUGAACGCUGGCGGUAGGCCUAACACAUGCAAGUCGAACGGCAGCACAGUAAGAGCUUGCUCUUACGGGUGGCGAGUGGCGGACGGGUGAGGAAUACAUCGGAAUCUACUUUUUCGUGGGGGAUAACGUAGGGAAACUUACGCUAAUACCGCAUACGACCUACGGGUGAAAGCAGGGGAUCUUCGGACCUUGCGCGAUUGAAUGAGCCGAUGUCGGAUUAGCUAGUUGGUGGGGUAAAGGCCCACCAAGGCGACGAUCCGUAGCUGGUCUGAGAGGAUGAUAAGCCACACUGGAAGUGAGACACGGUCCAGACUCCUACGGGAGGCAGCAGUGGGGAAUAUUGGACAAUGGGCGGAAGCCUGAUCCAGCCAUACCGCGUUGGUGAAGAAGGCCUUCGGGUUGUAAAGCCCUUUUGUUGGGAAAGAAAAGCAGCAGGUUAAUACCCCGCUGUUCUGACGGUACCCAAAGAAUAAGCACCGGCUAACUUCGUG
This 492-nucleotide ribosomal RNA is filed under the name uncultured bacterium. RNAcentral's name for it is "partial 16S ribosomal RNA". It matches the Rfam family "Bacterial small subunit ribosomal RNA", at positions 29 to 507 of the family's 1533-position model. The record is from RNAcentral.